This 247-nucleotide ribosomal RNA is filed under the name uncultured Actinomycetes bacterium. RNAcentral's name for it is "uncultured actinobacterium partial 16S ribosomal RNA". It matches the Rfam family "Bacterial small subunit ribosomal RNA", at positions 28 to 276 of the family's 1533-position model. Lineage: Bacteria; Bacillati; Actinomycetota; Actinomycetes. The record is from RNAcentral.
GACGAACGCUGGCGGCGUGCUUAACACAUGCAAGUCGAGCGGUAAGGCCCUUUCGGGGGUACACGAGCGGCGAACGGGUGAGUAACACGUGGGUGACCUGCCCUGCACUCUGGGAUAAGCCUGGGAAACUGGGUCUAAUACCGGAUAUUCACAUGGUUCUGCAUGGGGUUGUGUGGAAAGUUUUUUCGGUGUGGGAUGGGCCCGCGGCCUAUCAGCUUGUUGGUGGGGUGAUGGCCUACCAAGGCGA